Long non-coding RNA from Hyaena hyaena (striped hyena), 909 nucleotides. RefSeq lists it as uncharacterized. The record is from RefSeq and is a predicted model, not a curated record. NCBI's taxonomy places the organism in Eukaryota, Metazoa, Chordata, Mammalia, Carnivora, Hyaenidae. The transcript is spliced from 3 exons.
CGUCUGCAGGGAUGGGACGGUGAGGAGAAAGGUGUCUGGUUAGUGGGGCAGAUCGGGGACAUCCACGUGCAGGUCUGGACGCGGUCUUGCUCUCCCCUUGCUUAGAGGAACUACUCUGAAGUUUACUUCCCAACCAGGGAACACGAAGGGUCUAUGGCUGCUAGGGCGCCUGACAGGGGUGCCACGGACUCCCCAGCUGGGAGGCCGCCCUGUAACUCUGCAGUCGGCUGCUCCCCUCCACCCGCCCUGGAGCUCGGCCGCGAAGCGCUCUGCCAGGACUCCGGACUUCGCUGGAGCCCCCGCUCUGUCUACAAAGAACGGGCCGCGCCAGCUUCCCUGCACUCUGUGCUCGUUCUCUCGCAAAGUCACGAGAAGGCUGGCAGGGGGUAAAGUCGGGACAGCCGCACACUAAACCCCGCGUCCCAGCGGCCCGCCACACGACACGUCCCCUUCCUAAAUGCUUCUCUUGCCUGUUCUCAGAGGGCUAAGUCCAAACUUCGAGAAACUGCAGUCUAGAGACCAUUCAUUCAUUCAUUUCCUGGGAUGGGCUUCCCGGCCCCUCUCAGGUCGUUCUUGUUCCCUGAGCUCCUGUCACUGCAGCAGCGCCUCCUCCGCAUCCGCCCCUCCCCCUAGACCCCAAGGAAGGCACCUACCUGGGUCUUGGAGUACACAGAGCCCGAGAUGUCCGGCACGCCCGUGUUACUGGAGGUGCCUGCUGAGCAUGUGUACGAGAGAGUGGGCGAGGAGAGCUGCCUUUUGUGUGGCCAGGGGCCACGGCCAAACUUCACCAGCAUAUACCUGUCAAAACACUUUGGUGCCAAAGCCCAAAAGAAACGUAUUAGAUGUUUAACAUCCAUUUCUAGGGGCGCCUGGGUGGCUCAAUCGGUUAGGCCUCCGGCUUCGGCUCAG